AGGACGAACGCUGGCGGCGUGCUUAACACAUGCAAGUCGAGCGGAAAGGCCCUUCGGGGUACUCGAGCGGGCGAACGGGUGAGGUAACACGUGAGCAACCUGCCCCUGGCUCUGGGAUAGCCUCCGGAAACGGGGGAUUAAUACCGGACAUUCUCCGCCUUCCGCAUGGUUGGCGGUGGAAAGUUUUUUUCGGCCGGGGAGGGGCUCGCGGCCUAUCAGCUUGUUGGCGGGGUAACGGCCCACCAAGGCGACGACGGGUAGCC
RNAcentral lists this ribosomal RNA (263 nucleotides) under uncultured bacterium. Its description in RNAcentral is "partial small subunit ribosomal RNA". It matches the Rfam family "Bacterial small subunit ribosomal RNA", at positions 26 to 288 of the family's 1533-position model. The record is from RNAcentral.